Molecule: ribosomal RNA, 390 nt
Filed under: uncultured bacterium
Lineage: Bacteria
Description: bacterial SSU rRNA
Rfam family: Bacterial small subunit ribosomal RNA
Source: RNAcentral
GACGAACGCUGGCGGCGUGCUUAACACAUGCAAGUCGAGCGGUAAGGCCCUUUCGGGGGUACACGAGCGGCGAACGGGUGAGUAACACGUGGGUGACCUGCCCUCAGCUCUGGGAUAAGCCUGGGAAACUGGGUCUAAUACCGGACAUGACUCCAUGACGCAUGUUGUGGGGUGGAAAGCCUUGUGCGGCUGAGGAUGGGCCCGCGGCCUAUCAGCUUGUUGGUGGGGNGAUGGCCUACCAAGGCGACGACGGGUAGCCGGCCUGAGAGGGCGACCGGCCACACUGGGACUGAGACACGGCCCAGACUCCUACGGGAGGCAGCAGUGGGGAAUCUUGCGCAAUGGGCGAAAGCCUGACGCAGCGACGCCGCGUGAGGGAUGACGGCCUGG